This is a long non-coding RNA of Gasterosteus aculeatus aculeatus (three-spined stickleback), 300 nucleotides long. The record is from Ensembl. Lineage: Eukaryota; Metazoa; Chordata; Actinopteri; Perciformes; Gasterosteidae.
CACGGCCAGAUGUCCUUUUCAAGACCUUUCUGGUGCCCCGCUGUCACUUGAAUGAAGCGUCUGCGAGCACAAAGGGACGUGUUGGCUGAGCACCACGUGCUGAUGCCACAGCGCGCCGGCUCUCAGGGAUGACUCAGCGGCACGCCUAGUGAUGAGUAAGGCUCACCUCACCGCUCGCUUCCUGUAUGCCGGUGAUCUCACACGCCACACAAAGAGCUCUGAGGAAUCCUACGAGCUCUUCAUUACCGACUUUGCUUCCCUCUGGAUACCAAUUUAUUUUGAAGAGAUCUUCCUCUUGAG